Dioscorea cayenensis subsp. rotundata (Guinea yam) is the source of this 107-nucleotide small nucleolar RNA. NCBI's taxonomy places the organism in Eukaryota, Viridiplantae, Streptophyta, Magnoliopsida, Dioscoreales, Dioscoreaceae. The record is from RefSeq and is a predicted model, not a curated record.
AAAAAAUGUUGUAGACACUUCGAUAAGAGGUCCUUGAAUCGCUCCAAUGCCUCAAACAAGGAUUCAAGCUCCAUCUGAACAAAUGACGAGAUUUCAUUAGGAAGCUU